This 301-nucleotide ribosomal RNA is filed under the name uncultured bacterium. RNAcentral's name for it is "partial 16S ribosomal RNA". It matches the Rfam family "Bacterial small subunit ribosomal RNA", at positions 509 to 809 of the family's 1533-position model. The record is from RNAcentral.
CAGUAGCCACGGUAAUACAGAGGGUGCGAGCGUUAAUCGGAUUUACUGGGCGUAAAGCGUGCGUAGGCGGCUUUUUAAGUCGGAUGUAAAAUCCCUGAGCUUAACUUAGGAAUUGCAUUCGAUACUGGGAAGCUAGAGUAUGGGAGAGGAUGGUAGAAUUCCAGGUGUAGCGGUGAAAUGCGUAGAGAUCUGGAGGAAUACCGAUGGCGAAGGCAGCCAUCUGGCCUAAUACUGACGCUGAGGUACGAAAGCAUGUGGAGCAAACAGGAUUAGAUACCCCCGUAGUCCCUGUCUCUUAUAU